Molecule: ribosomal RNA, 253 nt
Filed under: uncultured bacterium
Lineage: Bacteria
Description: partial 16S ribosomal RNA
Rfam family: Bacterial small subunit ribosomal RNA
Source: RNAcentral
UACAGAGGGGGCAAGCGUUAUUCGGAAUUAUUGGGCGUAAAGGGCGCGUAGGCGGCUUGGCAAGUGGAUGGUGAAAUCCCUCGGCUUAACCGAGGAACUGCCAUCCAGACUGCUUUGCUUGAGGCCGGGAGAGGUGAGUGGAAUUCCCAGUGUAGCGGUGAAAUGCGUAGAUAUUGGGAGGAACACCAGUGGCGAAGGCGGCUCACUGGACCGGUUCUGACGCUGAGGUGCGAAAGCGUGGGGAGCAAACGGG